CCUACGGGAGGCAGCAGUGGGGAAUAUUGGGCAAUGGGCGAAAGCCUGACCCAGCGACGCCGCGUGAGGGAAGAAGGUCUUCGGAUUGUAAACCUCUGUUGAUAGGGAAGAAGACAGUGACGGUACCUAUCGAGGAAGUCACGGCUAACUACGUGCCAGCAGCCGCGGUAAUA
Molecule: ribosomal RNA, 173 nt
Filed under: uncultured bacterium
Lineage: Bacteria
Description: partial 16S ribosomal RNA
Rfam family: Bacterial small subunit ribosomal RNA
Source: RNAcentral